RNAcentral lists this ribosomal RNA (434 nucleotides) under uncultured Lachnospiraceae bacterium. Its description in RNAcentral is "partial 16S ribosomal RNA". It matches the Rfam family "Bacterial small subunit ribosomal RNA", at positions 341 to 792 of the family's 1533-position model. The record is from RNAcentral. Lineage: Bacteria; Bacillati; Bacillota; Clostridia; Lachnospirales; Lachnospiraceae.
ACGGAAGGCAGCAGUGGGGAAUAUUGCACAAUGGGGGAAACCCUGAUCCAGCGACGCCGCGUGAGUGAAGAAGUAUUUCGGUAUGUAAAGCUCUAUCAGCAGGGAAGAUAAUGACGGUACCUGAGUAAGAAGCCCCGGCUAACUACGUGCCAGCAGCCGCGGUAAUACGUAGGGGGCAAGCGUUAUCCGGAUUUACUGGGUGUAAAGGGAGCGUAGACGGCAGGGCAAGUCUGAUGUGAAAGCCCGGGGCUCAACCCCGGGACUGCAUUGGAAACUGUCCGGCUAGAGUGCAGGAGAGGUAAGUGGAAUUCCUAGUGUAGCGGUGAAAUGCGUAGAUAUUAGGAGGAACACCAGUGGCGAAGGCGGCUUACUGGACUGUAACUGACGUUGAGGCUCGAAAGCGUGGGUAGCAAACAGGAUUAGAUACCCUGGUA